AUGGGGGUGCGGGGGAGCACAGGAGCGCGAGCCAGCACCCAGACCUGCUCGGUACCGGGGACCCAGACCUGGGGAUGCCGGGUGGCCAGGACCCCGCUACCCUGGCCGGCUCCGGGCGGAGUAACAAGAGAAGGCGCCCAGACUGCAUCUCCGCCGGGACCCGGAGCCGCGGCACCACCCCAGCCCGCCCCACGCUCUCCAACCUCAGGCGGCCGCGCCCCGCCCCGCCCUCUCCCGAAGCCCCGCCCCGGCGCGAGACCACCCUCCGCGGCCUCCGCUCUGGUCCCGGCCCCGCCCCCCGCGACCCCGCCCCGCCCCGCCCCGCCCCGCCCCGCCCCGCCCCGCCCCCGCCCCGGCGCGGGACCACCCUCCGCCCGGCGAGGCGGGGGCCCAGCGCGCCCGGCACUCUCGGCGGUCCGGGCCCCUCGCCACCACCGCCGCCGCCGCCGCCGUGAGUCCCGCGGAGCCGCGCGCCCCAGCUGGGCCGAGCCGCCGGCCGACCAGCGGAGCCGCAGGAGCCCGCGGGGACGCCAUGCGAGCCAGAUUUGUGCUUGAGAAGCUCUGAGUUCCCGUGCGUCCACCCGCAUUGGCAUUACAGCCCACUGGCUUUGACCGGAACUGACCGAGUGCUCAGUUACGUCACUCAGCGGAGUGCCUGUGUCGUGGACAGAAAACCCA
RNAcentral lists this long non-coding RNA (678 nucleotides) under Macaca fascicularis (crab-eating macaque). Its description in RNAcentral is "lncRNA (ENSMFAG00000052112.1)". The record is from RNAcentral. Lineage: Eukaryota; Metazoa; Chordata; Mammalia; Primates; Cercopithecidae.